This 87-nucleotide small RNA is filed under the name Sinorhizobium meliloti 2011. Its description in RNAcentral is "putative ncRNA". The record is from RNAcentral. Lineage: Bacteria; Pseudomonadati; Pseudomonadota; Alphaproteobacteria; Hyphomicrobiales; Rhizobiaceae.
AAGGUCACUUGCGCCGGAAUCGUCAUGGAGAAGAGUGCUGCAGCGAACAGUAAGCGGCUGCCUCUGAACUUGAGCCGCGCGAGCGCA